GACGAACGCUGGCGGCGUGCCUAAUACAUGCCAGUAGAACGCGGAAGUAGGAUCUUGCUCUUCUGGAUGAGUUGCGAACGGGUGAGUAACGCGUAGGUAACCUGCCUGGUAGCGGGGGAUAACUAUUUGAAACGAUAGCUAAUACCGCAUAACAGUAGAUGUUGCAUGACAUUUGCUUAAAAGGUGCAAUUGCACCACUACCAGAUGGACCUGCGUUGUAUUAGCUAGUUGGUGGGGUAACGGCUCACCAAGGCGACGAUACAUAGCCGACCUGCGAGGGUAAUAGGCCACACUGGGAUGGAGACACGGCCCAGAACACUAGGAGUGGGAGCAGUAGGGAAUCUUCGGGAAUGGACGGAAGGCUGAACGAGCAACGCCGCGUGAGUGAAGAAGGGUGUCGGAUCGUAAAGCUCUGUUGUAAGAGAAGAACGAGUGUGAGAGUGGAACGUUAAGACUGUGACGGUACCGUAAGAGAAAGGUACGGCUAACUACGUG
Molecule: ribosomal RNA, 495 nt
Filed under: uncultured bacterium
Lineage: Bacteria
Description: partial 16S ribosomal RNA
Rfam family: Bacterial small subunit ribosomal RNA
Source: RNAcentral